Tetranychus urticae (two-spotted spider mite) is the source of this 5369-nucleotide long non-coding RNA. RefSeq lists it as uncharacterized. The record is from RefSeq and is a predicted model, not a curated record. Lineage: Eukaryota; Metazoa; Arthropoda; Arachnida; Trombidiformes; Tetranychidae.
UCAGUCUCUCAGACUGUAAGCUUCAAACAGUCAGCUCCAACUUUUUUUGCAACUUUCAAUUCCCUUUCACUGUAAAAACAUUUACCAAUCUCAACCUUUCAACCCAAAGCAACUGAAAAAUUGUCCAAAUUUGGGUUCCAAUCAAACUCCAACACACAAAAUCCUUUGAAACAUUCCUUUCAUUUUAUCCAUUUACAACUUUACCUUAUCAAUCUCAAGUCACAAAUUACAAAUGAAAUUGUAAACCUAAAAACCGAAACCUCAGAAAAUUCAAAUAUGAAAAGAGUUUUUUUUGAGGAAAAAAGACUGAAAAAUCUCUUUUUUCCUCAACACUUUUCGUUUCUUUUUGCAACUUGACCAAAAAUCAACUUUACCAUCAUGUUGCCCUGAACCUGAACCAUUUUCAUCCAGAUAUCAUCUCAACUCACCAUGAUUAACCAACAUGAUAAUAAUGUUAAUCAUCGCCAUCUUCCAUUUGUCUUUUUUUCUCAGUCAACAUCAACAUCACCAUUGUGAGUAUGCUUCUUGCCUCUUCAUAUAUACAUUUAUAUAUUCACUUUGUUUUCCUCCUCUUUUCCCAUCCUCUCUCCAUCUUCAUCAUCUUCAUCAUCCUCAUCACUUUGCUCCUAUAAAAAUCUUGCUCUCAUCCACUUGCUCUUUACCAUCCUCUUUCAUUCCUCUUCUCCUUUCCAUUUCCCUUUCUCCAAACGCAAUCCCUGUCUCUCUGUGCUUCUACAUUAUCAUCAAUAUUCUCCUCAUCCUUAUCUUCAUCUUCAUCCUUCCGCCAUUUUCCUUUCUCGCCUCUUUAUUUCUUCUUUUCCUUCGAUUCAAUUUCUUUCUUUUUUUUCUCCUUCAACACAUUCAUUGACUCUACUUACCUUAACCAAUCACAAUUAACCCUUAACAUUUUCAAGGCCAAUUUGACCCGUAACAAAACAAAUCAAAUGCCAAAAAAACACUCCAAACUCGAAGUUUAAAAGCAAAAUUGUUUCAUCAAAAUGUCACCAAAAACCGUCAUUUUAUCCAUCUUUUUGUUAAUCCAGUCAAAGUAAGACAAUUUUUUUUCCUUUUCCUACUAAACAUCCUUUACAAUUAGACUUUGCUUUCCAUUUGAUCACAAUUUAUUUAAUCAUUUUGUCAUUUGUUACAAUCAAUUUAACCUCAAUGUUUGCGUUUGUCUGUCCAUUGAAAUUGUUAAACUUUCUUGUUCUUCUUCCUCCUCCUUUCAUUCAAUUUGCACCUAACAAUCCAUAAAUGUCUUUCCUUUGUCAUGCAAUCUUGCCAUUGAAAUACUCAUUUUAAAUUUUAUUCAAUUAUCAUUUUCUUUUCUUCUUCUUUCCAAGGAAUUCAUUGCUUUGCUCUAAUUCAGGGCCUUUCAUCGUAUUAUUGUUAACUGACUUAAUUAUAAUCCAUUGACGGAUUAUGUGUUCCUUCAUCUCCUUAUCAUUUCCGCUGUCCAGACAGAUUAAUGUUAAAAUGACCUGGACGGAGAACUGAUAAGGGCAAGCAGGGACAGUUAAACAACAAUUAAGCCAUUCGUCGAUACUUUAUUGGGAAAUUGCUUCUUCGCAAGCAAAUGCGGUAACGCAAAGUAACAUGGAGAUGUUUCCAAAAGUCCUGGGAAGAGUUUUCUUUUCUUUGUGCAUUUCUCAGAUAUCAAAGCUACACUAUCCAAACUUAAUAUGUUGAAUUUUCAGAAAAAUUAAAUCAUUAUAUUACGAGAUACAAGAAAUAAACCAAAAAGUCCCAUGAUUUAUCCACACAGGUUAUGAAAACUUGUCAAAGUCGAAAAAGUGACACAUUUCGAUGCGGGAACCUUUCCUUAUUUUUAAACAGUCCAUCCUAAAGUUUUGAUAAUUUUCUUUCUCGUGGUGAUAUCUUUGAUGAGAUCAAGAAGCACGUGAAAGGUCUCUUUAUUCAUUCGGAAUCUUUUUUUGAAUUCAAAAUUAUCGAACAGUACAAAAAGGUCAUUUUUGUUCUUCUUUGAGGAUUUCUGCGCUGACGCAAACCAAAAGCGGAUAGAUAUUCAUCCGUUUUUGAGCGAUUCAGAAAUAAGUUAGUGGAAAUAGCAAUUUAGACAUAAAUUGUUUUGCUGAUUAUUCAGCAACCAGAUUACUUAAAGAAUUUAUUUUUGUGAAUUUUUGUUAAUUGAAUACUCAUAAUACACCACAAGUUGCUCCUUUUCCUAUUCACAUUCUAGCUCAUAAAAAAUCGAAGAAAAUAAUCUGUCAAACUUUCAAUUUUUUAAAUUUAACUUCAUUUUCAAUGUAAUUUUUCGCUAACUCCUUGUUUAAUUUUCUAACUUUUGCCUUUUUUGGCGUUUUUAUGGUUCAGAAGUGAUUGAAUCUUUUUCGUAAAGGAGUAUUUAUAAAAACUCUGACUUUUGAGUUAAGAGUAGGGACUUUGGGGAUUUUUAGGGGCAUAAAAGCUGAGUCCAAUACUGUUAUUAAAAAAUUUCUCUGAUCGACAGUUUUCGAGAAAAUCGAGGUCAAAGUCGUAACUUCGAUCUCCCUUUGAACAGUUAUGGAAUAAGAUUUAUCGACCGCGAUCUAAGACCGUAAUAGUAAGAGAGAUGAAACUUAUUAUUUGGUGAUAAAAAUUGCUGGUACAUAUCACGAAUCGAACACUUUUUUCAAUUUAUCAAUAGUUCUCUUGAUUUUGGCCAUUGGCCUAAAAACUUUGAGCCUGAAUAUUUCGAUAAUGAUCGCACUUACAAUAAUUGUUUUUUGACUGUUCAAAAGGAGAUCGAAGUUACGACUUUGACCUCGAUUUUCUCGAAAACUGUCGAUCAGAGAAAUUUUUUAAUAACAGUAUUGGACUCAGCUUUUAUGCCCCAAAAAAUCCCCAAAGUCCCUACUCAUAACUCAAAAGUCAGAGUUUUUAUAAAUACUCCUUUCAAAUUAUUGUUUUUUUGCAUAAUUUAGUCUAUGCUGGCGAUCUUGAUCAAGUUUAGAGUUAAUUUCGGAUAACUAUCGUCUUUUUUGAGGCCGUUUUCAAUAAUCCGCUAUUAUUUGCCACUUUUGAAUUUGUGGACUUUUUACCGAGUCCUUUGACUAAAUUAUAUUAAAAGUUCCUUGUGUUUACAAACGAUUUAGGAUGAUUUGUGCUGUUGGUCUAGACAGAAUUUGAUUUACAGUUUGGUCAAAUAAAUGAUUUAUAAUGGCAAACUGCCCGCUAUAAAAAUUUCCAAAAUAUUUUAUAUUUUGCGAGUUCAAUUAAUAAAAGUCUGAUUAAAAUACUUGAUCGAUUGACUUCAAAUGUCAUGAGUAGGUUGAGUUAAGUUGCCAGUUUGAUAUCUAAAAAAAUGGUAACUCUAACAAGUGUAAGUCUAUCCAUUCUGUCGCAAAUUAAUUUUGAAAUCAUGUCUAAAUUUUUAACUUUAACAGUUAUUUCCACUACCUUAUUCACCUUUAACGGGCAUGAAACUGUAACGAAAGUUACAGAGACAAUAAAGAUAAUGCACAAUACAAAAUGCAGAAAACUGGUUCAGCGCAAUCGAAACCACUGUAUAUCAAUCAGUGGGUGAUGACGAUGACUUGAAUGGACAAUUAUCAGUCAUCAUUUCAGCCAACCAAGAGGCAUAAUCAACAUUCAUGGGUGAACUUUGAAAAUCUAAAAGGUCAUUAAACGAUGAAUCAAUAGUUCCAUUGAUAUCUUGUUGAAGCUGUUGUUGCGACUUUGACUGUUAUUUCAACUCAAAUAACCAGUUCGUCCACAAAAUUUUGAAUAAGUAAAUGAUUAAUAAGUGUUUUUUUUGAAAAUAAUGAAGAUGCCGUCUAAGCCAGCUAAAUCUUAGCGUAAUAAAUUUAAUUGAGUAUGCUGAAUAAUGUAUUAUAGUUUCAGCUUUGAAAAAAUAACCAAACAGAUUGAAAAUUGCAGAAAACUGGAUUGAGUAUCAUUUCAAAAAAAAUCUUUAUCUACCGUUUAUCUUCCAUUUGGUCAAUCUGCUUUGCUACCAAAUCUUGACCUGAUUAUCACGCAAAUUCAAUUCAGAAUAAAUCAGUAAUUGAAAAGAAAUUAUAUCAUAGUUUUCAAAAUUUUCACCUAUUAUUAGACACCCAGUACAAGGUUACAAUCUAUAACCGAGAGACUUUUUUCGAAAUAACCGCCGAAUAGAAGCUUAUGUGUAUCACAUGGAAAUUUUAAACUUUCUGAAUUUCUCCGAAGUACUCUAGUACUAUUCUUUUAUUUGGAGAUCGGCAAAACAAUUAUACAUCUUUUCAAUAAAUUAAUAAUCACGCAAAUGUUUACAGAAAAUCUGAUAGUUUGAGAGUUAGAGAAAUGGCGGUCUUUUAAAGAUGAAAAAUGUGAAUAUCAUUAAUAAAUCCAGGACAAAUGAUCUCAAUCGAUUAGCAGAGUGUAGCUCAUGUUAAAUUCAAUUCUUGAUAUCAAUGAGAGAUAAAUAUUUUUCUUAAUCAAUUAGAUUUGAUUCAAAUUAUUUAUCUUACCUUUACCCAUUUUAAAUUUCCCUCCCUAAUAAAGAAAAAAACAGCCGGCUAUAGUAACCAAGUUCUAUUUCAUUAUUUUCCCACCUAACUCGUCGUAAACAAUGUACAGUUUUAAAUCAACAGCUCAGAAUUUUAUCCUUUAAAUUGUUUACCUCUGGUAGUUGAUUAUCCUGUUGAACAUCUUUUUACUCUUUGUUUACAGUCUUUUUUUGGGACCCUGAUGGAAGUAGAAGAAUGUUCAUCGUCUAAAGAAACUCAGACAAGCGCGGGUCCAUUCGAAAGUUAUUUUUCCACCAUUUUUGACAACCAAAGUCAAAACUAUUCUGGUUUAACCUUGUGUUCGAUUUGCUUGGAGCCCUGGGUUCAGGAUACGGAUCAUCGAAUAGUCAGUUUAAAAUGUGGUCAUCUUUUCGGUGGAGAGCUGCAUCAACAAAUGGUUUGGCAGCACAAAACAUGAUGAGGUUCAAUAGCUAGACCUGAACUCUCUUCUUUGUCAAUCAUGUAUCAAACUGAACAAACUUCGCUUUGAAGAAACUUUGGCAUAUGCAGCUGUGAAUCAGCUUCUUUCUUAAUGAUGGGUGCAUCAAAAAACUCAACUGGCUCUACUUUAUCCCAAUUAUUGUAUUUACCGGGAAAAUCGACUGAAAUAACAUGACCACAAACAGAGGUAAAUUUAAAGAAUGCAUCAUUAUAGCCAAGAAAUGGUCCAUGAUAUUCGUGAAUCGAGCAAGCUCCAUUACCACCUUUACGUGUCUGAUAACGACCAUUAGAUAAAAUUUUUGCCAAUGAUUCAGCCAAAGAUGGUUUCUCUGCUACCAUUAAUACGAUCACCUUGGAAAAUAUAGAAAAUGAAGAAAAGAAAAUCAAUAGAUUUCAAAUAAAGAUAUGCACAGCAUUUAUCAACGAUAUACACCAUUGAAA